Long non-coding RNA from Sinocyclocheilus rhinocerous, 535 nucleotides. RefSeq lists it as uncharacterized. The transcript is spliced from 3 exons. Lineage: Eukaryota; Metazoa; Chordata; Actinopteri; Cypriniformes; Cyprinidae. The record is from RefSeq and is a predicted model, not a curated record.
GGAAGUAGUCACAACAGUGUGCGGUUGCUAUGGAUGUAGAAUAGUCGCUCGAUAUGACAGUUGGGGUUUGGUAAAUAUUUACGUGAUGGUUAACACUUACCACUGUAUGAUCAACUCGUAGUAAUAAUCUUUAAACAGUGCAUGCUUACCUAUCAGAGAAGCUUAUGUUUUCGACGAAUAAAAGUUGAAAGGAACGACAUACCAAAACAAGAGCUAAGGUUAAUGUUGUGACAUCUGAAUGUGAAUCCACCUGUCGCGUUCAUACACUUGUGUUUGUUUAUAUAGUGCCGAUGUCAAGAUGUCUGUGGAACUGGAUGUAUUUGUUGGAAACACCACCAUUAUGGACAAAGAGGUGUAUCAACUGUGGCUGAAUGGAUAUACAGUGAAUGAUGCAGUGAAGGUCCGGAUAGAAGGAGGUGUGAUGGAGGAGUGUGAGGCCAGUGCAGAAGUGCUGCUCAGUGACACCAUGGACCAGUACAGAACUUUCCAGAUGUGUGAGAGACUUUUGCACCACCCAGCUAAACUAGCCAAUCAG